CGCACGAGCGCACCCUUGCCCUAUGUUGCCAGCGGGUUAUGCCGGGGACUCAUGGGGAACUGCCGGUGAUAAACCGGAGGAAGGUGGGGACGACGUCAAGUCAUCAUGGCCCUUACGCCCAGGGCUACACACGAGCUACAAUGGCCGGUACAAAGGGCUGCAAUCCCGCGAGGGGGAGCGAAUCCCAAAAAGCCGGUCUAAGUUCGGAUUGUAGUCUGCAACUCGACUGCAUGAAGUCGGAAUCGCUAGUAAUCGUGUAUCAGCAACGACACGGUGAAUACGUUCCCGGGCCUUGUACGCACCGCCCGUCAAGCCAUGGAAGCCGGGAGUGCCCGAAGUCCGUGAUCCAACUUCGUGAGGAAGCGGCCGAAGGUAAGUUCGGUGACUGGGGUUAAGUCGUAACAAGGUAGCCGUAGGGGAACCUGCGGCUGGAUCACCUCCUUU
This 444-nucleotide ribosomal RNA is filed under the name uncultured Gammaproteobacteria bacterium. RNAcentral's name for it is "bacterial SSU rRNA". It matches the Rfam family "Bacterial small subunit ribosomal RNA", at positions 1088 to 1533 of the family's 1533-position model. Lineage: Bacteria; Pseudomonadati; Pseudomonadota; Gammaproteobacteria. The record is from RNAcentral.